Brassica napus (rape) is the source of this 124-nucleotide non-coding RNA. NCBI's taxonomy places the organism in Eukaryota, Viridiplantae, Streptophyta, Magnoliopsida, Brassicales, Brassicaceae. The record is from Rfam.
GGAAUAUAAGAAUCUGUCUCUUAACUUUUAACUAAAAAAGUUAAGAACCGGCUCUAAAUAAGAGUUUUAAGACACGGUUCGUAGCUUUUUUAGUUAAAAGUUAAGAGACGAGUUCUUAUAUUCC